Molecule: long non-coding RNA, 731 nt
Organism: Rhea pennata
Lineage: Eukaryota; Metazoa; Chordata; Aves; Rheiformes; Rheidae
Exons: 3
Source: RefSeq, a predicted model, not a curated record
AGCAAGAGGUGCUAAGAUUUCGCCGCUGCCUAAAUCUGACCUGCUCAGAAGGAGCAGACCCUCACAAUCUGCCUCUGCAGUAGCUUAUGGCCGCUUCCAGAUGUGAAUGGAAGGAAAACAACUGACUUGCUUUGGGAGAGGCUGUUCUCACAAUUAUAUGUACCGAGUCGCCUACCGCUUGGGUCAGAGUGGGGCUAGCAGGCAGGAGAACAGGCCUGUGAUCUGCUGUGGCAAGUCACCUCCUUGUGUCAGCCAACAUCGUUCUCCUCCUGCUUUGUCUUGCACACCCAAGGCCUGAUUUCUGAGAGCUGCUCUGGUUGGAGCCGAGGAGUAUUUUGCCCAGGCGAUAAUUUCCAGGGAUGCCUGCACGGGAUGGAGCUCAGAACAAUGGAGACAUCUCUCUAGAUGUCUGGAGGAGUAUGAGCUGUUUCUCCGAACGUGUAUCUGAAGUGUGUGGGUCUUCUCCAGUUGUCCACUCCUUGCCAUGCUGGAACCAAGGAUGCUGGUUUUCUUGUAUCUCUUAAAAUAGAGUAGUUUUUGAAGCAAAGAUAUACUUUGAUUUGACACUAAUCUCUUGCAAACGUAACGGAGCAUCAGUCUUCGUUGGCACAGCGCAACGCUAAUGUAUGGCUGCAUUUGCUCUCCUGCUCCCUCCCCAGAUCCCCUCCUAAGUCCGGGAUUAAGACUAGUAGCAUCUAGUGAAUCCCAGUCUGAUGUCUUCUCUGUCAUUC